This 77-nucleotide transfer RNA is filed under the name Desulfovibrio desulfuricans. Its description in RNAcentral is "tRNA-Arg". It matches the Rfam family "tRNA". Rfam says of the family: Transfer RNA (tRNA) molecules are approximately 80 nucleotides in length. RNAcentral also lists the same sequence under 8 other names. The record is from RNAcentral. Lineage: Bacteria; Pseudomonadati; Thermodesulfobacteriota; Desulfovibrionia; Desulfovibrionales; Desulfovibrionaceae.
GCGCCCGUAGCUCAGUUGGAUAGAGCAGGAACCUUCUAAGUUCUUGGUCAGGGGUUCGAUUCCUCUCGGGCGCGCCA